Molecule: transfer RNA, 75 nt
Filed under: Chloroflexi bacterium HGW-Chloroflexi-2
Lineage: Bacteria; Bacillati; Chloroflexota
Also listed under: 3 other names
Description: tRNA-His
Rfam family: tRNA
About the family: Transfer RNA (tRNA) molecules are approximately 80 nucleotides in length.
Source: RNAcentral
GUGCCUGUAGCUCAACGGCAGAGCGCUUCACUGUGGAUGAAGAGGUUGAGGGUUCGAAACCGUCCAGGCACCCCA